CAGUAGCCACGGGAAUACAGAGGGUGCAAGCGUUAAUCGGAUUUACUGGGCGUAAAGCGUGCGUAGGUGGCUGUUUAAGUCGGAUGUGAAAGCCCUGGGCUUAACCUGGGAACUGCAUUCGAUACUGGAUAGCUAGAGAUCGGUAGAGGGCAGCGGAAUUCCGGGUGUAGCGGUGAAAUGCGUAGAUAUCCGGAGAAACACCGAUGGCGAAGGCAACUGCCUGGGCCUGAUCUGACACUGAGGCACGAAAGCGUGGGUAGCAAACAGGAUUAGAUACCCCAGUAGUCCCUGUCUCUUAUAC
RNAcentral lists this ribosomal RNA (301 nucleotides) under uncultured bacterium. RNAcentral describes it as "partial 16S ribosomal RNA". It matches the Rfam family "Bacterial small subunit ribosomal RNA", at positions 509 to 807 of the family's 1533-position model. The record is from RNAcentral.